UAGCUAGUUGGUGGGGUAAGGGCCUACCAAGGCGACGAUCGGUAGCUGGUCUGAGAGGAUGACUAGCCACACUGGAACUGAGACACGGUCCAGACUCCUACGGGAGGCAGCAGUGGGGAAUAUUGGACAAUGGGGGCAACCCUGAUCCAGCAAUGCCGCGUGUGUGAAGAAGGCCUGAGGGUUGUAAAGCACUUUCAGUGGGGAGGAGGGUUGAUAGGUUAAGAGCUGAUUAACUGGACGUUACCCACAGAAGAAGCACCGGCUAACUCCGUGCCAGCAGCCGCGGUAAUACGGAGGGUGCGAGCGUUAAUCGGAAUUACUGGGCGUAAAGGGUGCGUAGGUGGUUGAUUAAGUUAUCUGUGAAAUUCCUGGGCUUAACCUGGGACGGUCAGAUAAUACUGGUUGACUCGAGUAUGGGAGAGGGUAGUGGAAUUUCCGGUGUAGCGGUGAAAUGCGUAGAGAUCGGAAGGAACACCAGUGGCGAAGGCGGCUACCUGGCCUAAUACUGACACUGAGGCACGAAAGCGUGGGGAGCAAACAGGAUUAGAUACCCUGGUAGUCCACGCUGUAAACGAUGUCAACUAGCUGUUGGUUAUAUGAAAAUAAUUAGUGGCGC
This 616-nucleotide ribosomal RNA is filed under the name uncultured Legionella sp. Its description in RNAcentral is "bacterial SSU rRNA". It matches the Rfam family "Bacterial small subunit ribosomal RNA", at positions 242 to 849 of the family's 1533-position model. Lineage: Bacteria; Pseudomonadati; Pseudomonadota; Gammaproteobacteria; Legionellales; Legionellaceae. The record is from RNAcentral.